CGAACGCUGGCGGCGUGCUUAACACAUGCAAGUCGAACGGGGUCCAACGAAACUUCGGUUUUGUGAAGACCUAGUGGCGAACGGGUGAGUAACACGUGACUAAUCUACCCCGGACUGGGGAAUAACAUCGGGAAACUGAUGCUAAUACCGCAUAUUGAGGAACUAUCGCAUGGUAGCUUCUUGAAAGAUUUAUCGGUCCGGGAUGUGGUCGCGUCCUAUUAGCUUGUUGGUGAGGUAACGGCUCACCAAGGCGACGAUGGGUAGCUGGUCUGAGAGGAUGAUCAGCCACACUGGGACUGAGAUACGGCCCAGACUCCUACGGGAGGCAGCAGUGAGGAAUAUUGCGCAAUGGGCGAAAGCCUGACGCAGCAACGCCGCGUGAAGGAUGAAGGUGCUCUGCAUUGUAAACUUCUGUAAGGAGGGAAGAACUCCCCGCUUUUGGCGGGGCUGACGGUACCUCCAAAGUAAGCACCGGCUAAUUCA
RNAcentral lists this ribosomal RNA (483 nucleotides) under uncultured bacterium. RNAcentral's name for it is "bacterial SSU rRNA". It matches the Rfam family "Bacterial small subunit ribosomal RNA", at positions 30 to 504 of the family's 1533-position model. The record is from RNAcentral.